Nothoprocta perdicaria is the source of this 162-nucleotide long non-coding RNA. RefSeq lists it as uncharacterized. NCBI's taxonomy places the organism in Eukaryota, Metazoa, Chordata, Aves, Tinamiformes, Tinamidae. The record is from RefSeq and is a predicted model, not a curated record. The transcript has 2 exons.
AUACAGAGUUCUACCUUCUCAUCUGGACUCUGAUUUUGAUUCUCUGGGCAGCCCUGCAGGGCUUGGUGGUGACAAUAAAGAGGCUGCAGAGCCUAAAUCUCUUCGAACAUACUAUUUGAUCUUCCCUGGUGUGAUCUCAGGAUCCAUGCUGUUUGGGAUAGU